CCUUGCUGUGUAACCCGAAGUGUGCUGUGUGACUAACAGGUCCUGGGCUCAGAUUUCAGAGCCAGCUCUUCCUUCUGAGGGUUACCAUAGCCCUCAGUCCUGACCGGAACAGAUCAGGACUCCAGGAGUUUUCUCUCUAACAUCCCAACCCGGAGGAAUCUUCUAAUUCCCAAGUCUUUGGCGGAAGUUAUUGAUUUUAAUGAAGUCCAACAUCAACUUUUUCAUGGAUCAUGCUUUUGGUGUUGUAUCUGAAAUGUCAUUAGCAAACCCAAGGUCCCAGCGCCAUGCCUGCACAGAGGCUGGAUGGGGUGCGACCUG
Eptesicus fuscus (big brown bat) is the source of this 318-nucleotide long non-coding RNA. RefSeq lists it as uncharacterized. NCBI's taxonomy places the organism in Eukaryota, Metazoa, Chordata, Mammalia, Chiroptera, Vespertilionidae. The transcript is spliced from 3 exons. The record is from RefSeq and is a predicted model, not a curated record.